CGCAUUCCAUGGCGUGUCGCC
Molecule: microRNA, 21 nt
Filed under: Panagrellus redivivus
Lineage: Eukaryota; Metazoa; Nematoda; Chromadorea; Rhabditida; Panagrolaimidae
Description: prd-miR-7882-3p
Source: miRBase by way of RNAcentral